RNAcentral lists this transfer RNA (71 nucleotides) under Marmota monax (woodchuck). RNAcentral's name for it is "tRNA.Ala". It matches the Rfam family "tRNA". Rfam says of the family: Transfer RNA (tRNA) molecules are approximately 80 nucleotides in length. The record is from RNAcentral. Lineage: Eukaryota; Metazoa; Chordata; Mammalia; Rodentia; Sciuridae.
GGGGUUGUAGCUUAGUGGUAGAGCACUUGCCUAGCAUGUAUGAGGCAUUGGGUUCAAUCCUCAGCACCACA